UACGUAGGGUGCGAGCGUUGUCCGGAUUUAUUGGGCGUAAAGGGCUCGUGGGCGGCCUGUCGCGUCGGGAGUGAAAGCCCACUGCUUAACGGUGGGUCUGCUUCCGGUACGGGCGGGCUGGAGUAUGGCAGGGGAGACUGGAAUUCCUGGUGUAGCGGUGGAAUGCGCAGAUAUCAGGAGGAACACCGGUGGCGAAGGCGGGUCUCUGGGCCGUUACUGACGCUGAGGAGCGAAAGCGUGGGGAGCGAACAGG
Molecule: ribosomal RNA, 253 nt
Filed under: uncultured bacterium
Lineage: Bacteria
Description: partial 16S ribosomal RNA
Rfam family: Bacterial small subunit ribosomal RNA
Source: RNAcentral